UUGGUUUUCAGGGCAAAGCAGUUUACCUAUGUUUAUUUGUGUUUCAUCAUUUAUUUCGAGAAAAUAAAUCAAAUAAAUUAGUUUCAUUAUAACAAGCAUAAUUUAAUUAAAUUUUUUGCUAUAAUUUCUUAACCUAAUAUGGCCUUGUCCCCUUUGAAUAUUUAUCUUUUAUUAAUGGGAUAAUAUGUCUCUCUUGUUGGUGUGUUAUGAAUCCGAAAAACUUUUUAAGAAUAGCAUCUGUUGUUGGUGAAAUAUCCAUACCUGUUUACAGCUGUGAUGGUUGUAGUUAUUCUACCAGCAUUAAGUCUCAUUUAGUGAGGCACAGAAUGAGACAUACGGGAGAACGUCCUUUUCACUGUUCUACUUGUGGAAAAGGAUUUAUAACAGCACAUCAUUUAAGAUAUCAUGAAACAACUCAUUUAAAACUCUAAUCUUAAGUGAUAAAAUAUUGCAAACUCAACAUCCAUUCUUAAAAUAAAUUAGAAUUUCAUCUUGUAAA
This is a long non-coding RNA of Parasteatoda tepidariorum (common house spider), 499 nucleotides long. The record is from RefSeq and is a predicted model, not a curated record. NCBI's taxonomy places the organism in Eukaryota, Metazoa, Arthropoda, Arachnida, Araneae, Theridiidae.